AUAUCAGUCAUGCAUAUGCAUAUCAAUAAGCGGAGGAAAAGAAACUAACAAGGAUUCCCUUAGUAACGGCGAGUGAAGCGGGAAGAGCUCAAAUUUGAAAUCUUCAAGGUUUUACCUUGACGAAUUGUAGUUUAAAGAAGUGUUUUCUGUUGAAGUUUUGGUAAAAGUUCUUUGGAAUAGGACAUCAUAGAGGGUGAGAAUCCCGUAUUUGACCAUUACUUUCAGCUUUGUGAUACACUUUCAAAGAGUCGGAUUGUUUGGGAAUGCAGUCCAGAAUGGGUGGUAAAUUUCAUCUAAAGCUAAAUAUUGGCGAGAGACCGAUAGCGAACAAGUACCGUGAGGGAAAGAUGAAAAGAACUUUGAAAAGAGAGUUAAACAGUACGUGAAAUUGUCAAAAGGGAAGCGUUUGACACCAGUGUUGUUUUCUCGAAAAUCAAUUAAAAAGAGUUGGAUUUUGUGUUGUAUUGACUUUAUCGGCUUUCUUCACUCUUUUCCAGCUUUUUUUAAUGCACUUUUCGUUUAACAAGUCAACAUCAGUUUCUUUUGUUGUAAAAAGGUCAUUGGAAGGUGGCUUUCUCUUCGGAGAAAGUGUUUAUAGCCUUUGACUCAUGCAAUCGAAGAGACUGAGGUCUGCAGCGUAGAUCCUUCGGGGUUAGAUACAUUUGUGCUAAGUUAUAGCUUUUCAUAGACAACUUGUUGACUAUGUUUAGUCUUGUAGCUUACUCGCUUAUGCUAUUUUACCUACGCUUAGGAUGUUGAACUCUAUCACACACAG
RNAcentral lists this ribosomal RNA (775 nucleotides) under uncultured Neocallimastigales. RNAcentral describes it as "partial large subunit ribosomal RNA". It matches the Rfam family "Eukaryotic large subunit ribosomal RNA", at positions 22 to 621 of the family's 3401-position model. Lineage: Eukaryota; Fungi; Neocallimastigomycota; Neocallimastigomycetes; Neocallimastigales. The record is from RNAcentral.